This 683-nucleotide long non-coding RNA is filed under the name Canis lupus dingo (dingo). Its description in RNAcentral is "lncRNA (ENSCAFG00020002666.1)". Lineage: Eukaryota; Metazoa; Chordata; Mammalia; Carnivora; Canidae. The record is from RNAcentral.
CCGUGAUUGGCGGGGAGACCUGCCCAAUGGGAAAACUUACACGUUGGCUGAGGCCUCUGGGAAAUGGGGUUCAGCGUCGUGAUGCCCUCUGGGAAUCGUAGUUCUGCGUGUCUGCCCGGCACGGCCGAACGCUGCCCACGAGCGGGGGCGGGGUUCUCUCCGCGCGACCGGAAGUGGCUGUUGAAGCGGCAGUAGGCGUGAAAAGAGGUUGGCGCUGGGGAAGUGUAACCUCCUCGGCUCCCUUCUCUACGUCUGGUGAUUGUCCCAGUGCUUCCGGACGCGGGAUCCGAGUGCGCGGAUCGCCCUAGAGGGAGGGAAGCCCAGGGCCGCCAGCCUGAGCGUGUGGAAGGGCUCCUGCUCUUUGCUGGACGGCUGAACCCCAGACCGAGGCCCCUGCUGGAAGGACGCUGCUCGGGAAACCCUCGUGUCCAGGCUCCGGAGGAACGGAAUGAGCUCCUGAGAUGGAAGGUAGUGGGGACCCGAGGAUGGAAGAGCGGGGCGAUGGGGGCAAAAGAAGAUCAAAUACUUGACAGCUGGUAGAGGUGGAAAGAGGGAGCCUUAUCUCAAGACCCUUCCUCUCCGGAGCCUGCCCUCCUCCAAGCGGGACACACUUUACUUGCAUCAACCAGUUUUCAAGUAAGUUGGAAUUCCUGAAAUGCCAUCUUAGUCUGCACAAUGGAUUG